UACGUAGGGUGCGAGCGUUGCCCGGAUUUAUUGGGCGUAAAGGGCGCGUAGGCGGUCACGCACGUCCGUUGUGAAAUCGCUCGGCUCAACUGGGCGGGGUCAGCGGAUACGGCGUGGCUGGAGCAAGCUAGGGGGCAAUGGAAUUCCCGGUGUAGUGGUGGAAUGCGUAGAUAUCUGGAGGAACACCAGUGGCGAAGGCGGUUGCCUGGAGCUUUGCUGACGCUGAUGCGCGAAAGCGUGGGGAGCGAUCCGG
RNAcentral lists this ribosomal RNA (253 nucleotides) under uncultured bacterium. RNAcentral describes it as "partial 16S ribosomal RNA". It matches the Rfam family "Bacterial small subunit ribosomal RNA", at positions 524 to 776 of the family's 1533-position model. The record is from RNAcentral.